RNAcentral lists this ribosomal RNA (469 nucleotides) under Microsporidia sp. RNAcentral describes it as "bacterial SSU rRNA". It matches the Rfam family "Microsporidia small subunit ribosomal RNA", at positions 200 to 696 of the family's 1311-position model. Lineage: Eukaryota; Fungi; Microsporidia. The record is from RNAcentral.
CUACCAAGACAGUGACGGUUGACGGGGAAUUAGGGUUCGAUACCGGAGAGGGAGCCUGAGAGACAGCUCCCACGUCCAUGGACGGCAGCAGGCGCGAAAAUUGCCCACUCUUUGCAGGAGGCAGUUAUGAGACGUGAGAAAGAAUAUCUGGUAAAAGGGAUAGGAGAAUUGGAGGGCAAGUUUGGUGCCAGCAGCCGCGGUAAUACCGACUCCAAGAGUGUGUGUGAGAGAUGCUGCAGUUAAAAAGUCCGUAGUCAUAGAAGCGCAAACAGAGGCGGAGCCUCUAGACGCAGCGGUGGAGGAGCCGAUGGGGAGCACAGUAUACCAGGGCGAGAGAUGAAAUGCCAAGACCCCUGGUGGACUAAGCGAGGCGAAAGCGAUGUUCUUGUAGAGAUUUGAUGAUCAAGGACGAAGGCUGGAGUGUCGAAAGUGAUUAGAUACCGCAGUAGUUCCAGCAGUAAAAGAUGCC